Manis pentadactyla (Chinese pangolin) is the source of this 5019-nucleotide long non-coding RNA. RefSeq lists it as uncharacterized. The record is from RefSeq and is a predicted model, not a curated record. The transcript is spliced from 3 exons. Lineage: Eukaryota; Metazoa; Chordata; Mammalia; Pholidota; Manidae.
GAGUUUCUGCCGACUGCGCGCGGGUCACGCCGGGACUUGUAGUUAUUUUUGCGCGCCGAGCGGGGCCGGUCAAGCUGAGAGUUGGGGCGGUAAGGUUGGUACAAUUUUUCUUAAACUCUCCCUGUUCCCCACUCCCAUCCCUAUUCCCCUGACCUUACAGAACCAGAAACUCCGGGGCCACGGCCCAGCCAUCUGUGCUUUAACAAAUUCUCCGUGCUCAAGUUUCAGAACCACUGAUACUGUAUCUAGACACACUCUAACAUGCUUUUCAAAUAUUAGGCAUGGCUAUGUUAUUAAUAAUGAUUAUACGGAAGUGUGCUUGCCAUAUGUAUUCCUCACUGACAAUACCGCAGUAUUUGGUUCCAAAUGUCCAAAUACACGACCUUUUUUGGGCUUUAGUUUCCAUCUCUGUAAGUUGAAAAGAUUGUAUUCAAAACCGGUUCCACUGUAAUUCUGUAAUAAAGUGGUUUUAUAUUUAGAGAGCUAUCCGACAUCCUUGUUAGAUACUUUAUUAUAAAGCUCAGAAACUCAGUUUACACUCCAUGGGAAACUGUAGAAAGACAAAAUUAUAACACAAUGACACUCCUUAGAACUUUGUAGGUUUAUAUUCUUAAUGCAUAACUACACGUCAUUGCAUUUAGUGUUUUAUUACAGUGGUUGUUGUCACUUCAUUUUUCACUUACUCAUUUUUGACAAUGCCCAUGUUAAAGCUGCCAGAAGCCUUAGAGUUCUUUGAUUCAAAUGCUUAAAUUUUACAGUUCUUUUCAUCUUACAAAUAUUUAUUGAGCAUCUUCUAUGUGCAGGACGGGGAAAUACAGCUGGUAACAAGACAAGAUCUCAGCUCUCUUGGAUCUCAAAGGUUUUUGAAGGAAACAUAAUAAUGAAGGAAACAUUUAAGAUAAGAAGAAUAUGCUCCUAUAAGAAAUGCAAGAAACGGCAGCAUGAGAAUGCUAGCUGCGAACUGCUGUGUAUUCAUUGAAGAAUGAAAUGCCACUGAUAUGAGAGGAGGCAGCACAAGAACACCAGCUGCGAGGUGCCAUUGAGGAGGUAAAAUAUUUGUUGGUGACUGAAACGGUGUCACUGUGAGGUAUUGUGGAAGAGGUAAAGGCCAUGAAGGAAAAGGACAGACCCCUGCAAAAAGCACAAGAAGAGGCAGUGCAAGAAUGUGAGCUGCAAGAUCCAGUAAAGGAGAUAAAAGAUUCCUUAUAGAAUGAGACAGCAGUGCUGCCAGAUGCUCUGAAUGAGGCAAAGGCCAUGGAGGAGAAGGACGUACUCCUGAGGGAAGCACAGAAAGAGUGGCACAACAAUGCCAGCUGCGAGGCAUUGAGGUCAAGGAAACACCUGAAAGAUGGGAAGAUGGAGGUAAAUGAGAAAUGAGACCAGCUUGGUCCUGAGGCCAGAUGUCGUAUAAAGCGUGAAUGCAAAAUCCAGAGACUGACAUGGAGGGCUGCUAGAAUACAUGUAUAAUCAUAACAACCGAUUUGACCUCUCUGGUGAUUUUCUGAGCAUUGUUGUUUUCUCACUUGGCACCCUGAGGAUGGGCUUAGAUUCCCUGAAUUAAGCAAUUAUUUGUUUUUCUCAAUGUAGCACCUGUGAAAAGCCAGAAGUUAUUCUUCUUUUUUUUUAAUUGAGAUAUUAUUCACAAGGCAUACACCCAUCCCACUAUCCAAUUUCAGAACAUUUAUUUUCAUCCUCCCUCACAUAAACAUUUAUUUUCAUCCACCCCCACACAAAAAUAGUGCUCCCCCCAAUUAGCGGGCACUUACCUUCCCUCUCUCUCCCAGCCCCUGGCAACCACUAGUGUACUUUCUGUCUCCAUGGAUUUGUCUUCUGUGGAAAUUUUAUAUAAAUGAAGUCAUACAAUAUGUGGGCUUCUUACACUAAGCAUGCUAUUUUCAAGGUUUAUCUAUUUGUAGUCUAUAUCAAUACUUCCUUUCUCUUUUAUGGCUGAAUAUUAUUCCAUUGUAUGGAUAUGCUAUAUUUGUUUAUCCAUGCAUCAGGUGAUACACAUUUGAUGGCAUACAUUCUUUCCACUUUUUGUCUAUUUUGAAUAAUGCUGCUGUGGACAUUCAUGUGCAGACUCUUGUGUAGACAUAUUUUCAGUUCUCCUGAGUAUAUGUCUAGGAGUAGAAUUACUGAGUCAUAUAGUAAUUCUAUUUUAAAACUUUUGAGGAAUUGCCAGAGUGUUUUCCAACGUGGUUGUACCGUUUUACACUCCUACCAGCAAAGUAUGAGGGUUCCAGUUUCUUCAUGUCAUCAUUAGCACUUGACUAUAGCCAUCCUAGUAAGUGGGAAGUGGUAUCUCAUUAUAGUUUUGAUUUGUGUUUCCCUAAUGGCUAAUGAUGUUGAACAUCUUUUAUGUGCUUAAGUGCCAUUUGUAUAUUUUCUUUGGAGAUAUACAAAUAGGGAUCUAUUCAAGUCAUUUGUCCAUAUUUUAAUUAUUUGUAUUUUUAUUGUUAGUUGUAAGUGUUCUUUAUAUAUCCUGGCUAUAGGUCCUUUGUCAGAUAUGUGAUUUGCAGGUAUUUUCUCCCAGUCUGUGGGUUGUCUUUUUACUUUCUUGAUGGUGACCUUUGAAACCCAAAAGUGUUUAAUUUUGAUGAAGUCCAAUUUAUCUACUUUUUCCUUUGGUUACUUUGCUUUUUAGUGUUGCAUCUAAGAAACUGUGGCUUAAUCCAAAGUCACAAAGAUUUAUCUCUAUAUUUUUUUCUAAGAGUUUUGUAGUUUUAGCUCUUAGAUUCAGGCCUUUGAUCCACUUUUAAUUAAUUUUUGUAUAUGGUAUGAGGUAAGGGCCCAGCUUCAUUCUUUGCAUGUUGCUCUCCAGUUGAACCAUUUGUUGGAAAUAUUAUUCUUUCCCAGGUGAAUUGUUUUUUGGUGCUUUGCUGAAUAUCAAUUGAUGAUAAUUCUCCCAAGUUAUUCCUAAUAUCAAUAAUAAUGACUAAAAUUAUUGCUGGCUUUUGGUUUAAUAAAAACCCAUAAUCUCCUCCCUUUGAGUACUUUUGUUUCAGAGCUAACUGCAGGAUCUCAAACUUGUAUUUUUGACUAACACAACACUGAAUCCACCAAAGGAGGUGGUGGAGGGAGGGUAAUAGUGUAAGUCCCAGCACAAAUCUGAAGGCCCUAGAACCAGAAGUGCUGAUGUCUGAAAGUAGGAGAUGGAUGUCCCAGCUCACAAGAAGAGAGAAUGAAUUCACUCUUCCUCCACCUUUUUGUUUUUUGGACCUUCAAAUCAAAUGCUAAUCUUUUAUGGAAACACCCUCACAAAUGCACCCAGAAACAGUGUUUUUCCAGCUAUGUAAACAUCCUUUGGUCCAGUCAAGUUGACAUAAAAUUAACCAUGGGGAUUCCAUAAAUUUAAAAAGAUGCUUAUACAAAUAUAUGUUACAGGAAGUAAUUGUGGAAUGCUUUACAGAUACAAAGAGGGCAAACAUCAGUGCUUUGACCAGAGUUGGAAUAGACUGUCAGAAGACAAACUUUCCUCUGUACUUAAUUAGCUGGGUGACCUUUCCCAAUCACUUAAACUCUUGGAGACUCAGUUUCCUGGUCUAUUGAGUAUUGGUAAUAAUGCCAAGUCUAAAGACCUUUCUGUGUUAUUAUGAGAUUGAAAUAAUGCAGUAGGUGUAAAAGUGCUUUGGAAAAUUUUAACUUUUUAUUCUGGGCAUUCUGAGCAAUUCAGAGAUAAUUGCUUGCUUUCAUUCUAAAAACUGCCUUUGAUUUGUUUAUAGUACCAAUUUAGCCAUUCUGGCUUCGGGCGGUCCCAAGUAAUGUUUACCAAAAUAAAACAUUAAUGUGAUGUCGGAACUCAACCAAGAAUUAGGAGAAGUGCAAGUUGCAGCACUCCAAAAUCUUGCGACUACAGGCUAUCUACUGUUAAAAGAACAUAUGGGAUGUGAACAGUUCCCAGGAAUGUGUUGUUUUAAUUUGUCUGAUUUUUCUCAAACUAUUCAAAUUCAGUUAGACAAUAUCCAUCAUAUCAUUGAUAAGUUUUCACAAAUGCCUAGGGUGCCUAACUGGUUUUCUUGGUUUCACUGGAGAUGGCUGGUAAUUGUAGGUCUGCUUUGGUUAUGUAGCUGUAUUCCUAUUAUGUUAAUGUGUGUGCGCAAUUUACUUAGAAGUUUAAAACCUAUACAUGCUUAUGUUACUCUACAAGAAGUUAUGUCUAAGAAAUAAUCAAUCUUCCCAUGUUUUCUUCUGUCUGCUACUUCUAUAGCUUUUCUUCUUCCUUCCUAAUUACAACCCUUAAGUAGAAUUCGUGCCUCAUAACGAAAUUACCGAUUAUCAUAAUUCUUCCAAGUGGUAAAGAUACCUCAAGACAAAUGCUGGGCAUAGAAGCCACAGGGCAUAAAUCUGCAAAGAAGUAAAAAGCUAACCUUUUCAAAGAAUAUUGCUUCUCUCUCACUUACCAACUUUACAUUUCCCUGUAUGACUGGUUAGCCAGAGACGGGUAAGAUUCCUCAAGGGAGGAACAACCUAAGACAGGCACAGUCGCAGGGGGGCCAUCAGGUGAGAAAUUGGGGAUCAACACAGGUGAGGCUUAGAACCUCACCCCCCCUGUUUUGAGAGAAAUCUUCUGCAUCCAUGGAUGUUUUGUUGCCCUUGUCUAGCUUGGAUUAAUACUUAGUCUAUAGGCACACACCUGAUCAUCUACAUUUGCCCUCUUACAGCACUAAACUAUGUUUUCUACCUUUAUGUUGCAUCUACCUACCACUUCAGCAUUUUAUUUAAAAAAAAAAAAAAUAAUAAUAAUAAUAAGGGAGAAAUGUGGGAUUCAUAUAUAAAUCAAGUAUAAAAAUCAAACAAAUAUUCAUAUUUGACCUGGUUGUUUAUAGUUCAUAAUGCAUGAUCAAAACCGAAAGUUUCUGUGAUGACUGCCCUUGCACUGUUCACCAUGUAAGAACUUAUUCACUAUGUAAGAAUUUGUUCACCAUGUAAGAACUUGUUCAUUAUGCUUCAGAAGAUUGGAGACUGCUGAGAAUUAGGCUUGGGGUUGAUUAAUGAUUGUACAUCGAGUCCCCUAUACAG